UCCUACGGGAGGCAGCAGUGGGGAAUUUUGGACAAUGGGGGCAAGCCUGAUCCAGCAAUGCCGCGUGAGUGAAGAAGGCCUUCGGGUUGUAAAGCUCUUUUGUCAGGGAAGAAAAGGUUUUGGAUAAUAUCUGUGGCUCAUGACGGUACCUGAAGAAUAAGCACCGGCUAACUACGUGCCAGCAGCCGCGGUAAUACGUAGGGUGCAAGCGUUAAUCGGAAUUACUGGGCGUAAAGCGUGCGCAGGCGGUUUUGUAAGUCUGUCGUGAAAUCCCCGGGCUCAACCUGGGAAUGGCGAUGGUGACUGCAAGGCUAGAGUUUGGCAGAGGGGGGUAGAAUUCCACGUGUAGCAGUGAAAUGCGUAGAUAUGUGGAGGAACACCGAUGGCGAAGGCAGCCCCCUGGGUCAAAACUGACGCUCAUGCACGAAAGCGUGGGGAGCAAACAGGAUUAGAUACCCUGGUAGUCCACGCCCUAAACGAUGUCUACUAGUUGUCGGGUCUUAAUUGACUGGUAACGCAGCUACGCGUGAAGU
This 533-nucleotide ribosomal RNA is filed under the name uncultured bacterium. Its description in RNAcentral is "bacterial SSU rRNA". It matches the Rfam family "Bacterial small subunit ribosomal RNA", at positions 337 to 865 of the family's 1533-position model. The record is from RNAcentral.